UAAACGGCUCCUGAGGUCUGAAAAAACGACAGCAGGAUUCAGCGUUCCUCUGACAACCACUCAGAAAAUAGAAUGUGAAGAAGAAGGAGGAAGGGAAGAUGCGGGGCCAGCCAUCAGAAUGCUCCCUGUGGCUCCAUGGAUGCCUAGAAAUGCUGGUCACUUAAAGGGCACAGGUUACAGAAUGUCAGAUGACUGAAGUAAAAGAGGAAGUAACAUUGCUCAGAGAUGGAGAUUUGUGGCUUCUCUCUUUGGAAAGAUGAGAAAGGGACUAGAAAAUCCUCCGGAUGGGCCUUCAAAGGUCACUGAGCAGGACUCCCAAAGGCCACCACUGCUGUCCAGCACCCCUCUCAAUGCAGCUACUCCCAGUGGGUUGUGGAACCACUCUCUCCUGUGUCUUCAAGUAUAGAGGUGGAAACAGCUGUCUGCUGUUGCUUGCACCAAGAUGUAGGCUCCAUUUCCACAGAUGCCUCAUGAUCAGGGAUAGCUGCUCAAGUUCUCCCUAUUACAUCACAUGUCCUCCAUCAGUUUUCAACUGCAGAGAACUGAAUCUGCUCCAGCUACUUGACACACAAAUGGCUCUAUUCCUGUACUAAAGAGCUUCUGGAAUCCUAGACAAGGCAGAAACACAAACUCUGUGUUAAUAUUUUGGGACUAACACCCAAAGUCACCUGAAAGAGUUGGGCCACCAAGGUAGCUACUGUCCCUUCUUGUCCCUUCUAUGACCAAGAAGCUCCUUUUCUGAUUGGAAUGCUGUCACUCCACUUGCUGGGUCCAGAACCUCAGAGCUCCUGCACAAUGAGGGAGCUGCAGUCCCAGGAAGCCACACAAUCCCAAAGCUGUAAUGAUUGGGAAUCUCAUACCACAGAUGCUGUCUUCAGAACCAAGCUGUUUCUGCUUCGGUCUGCACCCAUGACUUCAGUGACCAGAAACGAAGACCUCAGCAAAUGCUUCUUCCCAGCAUAACUGAAUGCUUGCCCAGUGGGGCUUGCCAGAAGGAACAACAGAAGCAACACCUCUCCAUUUUGCUUUACAUCUACCUUCCAAAUCAUCACUUGUGUACCUGAGGGGUCGAGCAUUCACCGCAUACAAAAGCAUAGCUGCAAGAAAUUGGGGGAAAGUCAUUUUUAGCUUUUCAGUCUUUGAAACAUAAGAAGACACUCUAGAAGGGAGUUGCAAUAGACAGUAAGUGUUAAUUCACAAUUCCGCCAAAAUAUUCCAGGAAGAGGGAAGGAGAAAGAAAGGGGAAGGAUAAAAGGACAUCCUCCUUCACUAGCUCAGUGAUCUUUAAGAAACUUUUCAUGAAGCCCCACUAGAUGAUUUUCAUUUGCCCUUCAUUACCUACUCUUAACUGCAGGGGAGACUGGGAAAUGCAGAACUUUAGCUAUAUGUGUUGCCUCCCAGAAUAAAAUGGGGUUUUGUUAGAAAGAAGUAAAUAAACAAGAUAAUGAAUA
Molecule: non-coding RNA, 1451 nt
Organism: Macaca mulatta (Rhesus monkey)
Lineage: Eukaryota; Metazoa; Chordata; Mammalia; Primates; Cercopithecidae
Source: RefSeq, a predicted model, not a curated record